This 524-nucleotide ribosomal RNA is filed under the name uncultured bacterium. RNAcentral describes it as "partial 16S ribosomal RNA". It matches the Rfam family "Bacterial small subunit ribosomal RNA", at positions 28 to 523 of the family's 1533-position model. The record is from RNAcentral.
GACGAACGCUGGCGGCGUGCCUAAUACAUGCAAGUCGAACGCUUCUUUCCUCCCGAGUGCUUGCACUCAAUUGGAAAGAGGAGUGGCGGACGGGGGAGUAACACGUGGGUAACCUACCCAUAAGAGGGGGAUAACACUUGGAAACAGGUGCUAAUACCGCAUAACAGUUUAUGCUGCAUGGCAUAAGAGUGAAAGGCGCUUUCGGGGGUCGCUGAGGGAUGGACCCGCGGUGCAUUAGCUAGUUGGUGAGGUAACGGCUCACCAAGGCCACGAUGCAUAGCCGACCUGAGAGGGUGAUCGGCCACACUGGGACUGAGACACGGCCCAGACUCCUACGGGAGGCAGCAGUAGGGAAUCUUCGGCAAUGGACGGAAGUCUGACCGAGUAACGCCGCGUGAGUGAAGAAGGUUUUCGGAUCGUAAAACUCUGUUGUUAGAGAAGAACAAGGACGUUAGUAACUGAACGUCCCCUGACGGUAUCUAACCAGAAAGCCACGGCUAACUACGUGCCAGCCGCCGCAGUAA